GAUGAAGAACGCAGCGAAAUGCGAUAAGUAAUGUGAAUUGCAGAAUUCAGUGAAUCAUCGAAUCUUUGAACGCAUCUUGCGCUCCUUGGUAUUCUGAGGAGCAUGCCUGUUUGAGUGUCAUUAAAUUCUCAACUACACUGACUUUGAAUUGGUGUGGCUUGGAUUUGGGGGGAAAAUUGUUGUGGGCUUUUUGUAUAGUCUGCUCCCCUGAAAUUGAUUAGCGGUACCUUUGUGGAACUGUCUACAGGUGUGGUAAUUAUCUACAUCUUAGACAUCUGCUGGAAUGCUGCUUUCUAAACCUUACUUGUAUUGACAAUCUUGACCUCAAAUCAGGUAGGACUACCCGCUGAACUUAAGCAUAUCAAUAAGCGGAGGA
RNAcentral lists this unclassified non-coding RNA (376 nucleotides) under soil metagenome. Its description in RNAcentral is "partial contains 5.8S ribosomal RNA, internal transcribed spacer 2, and large subunit ribosomal RNA". The stretch from base 1 to 120 matches the Rfam family "5.8S ribosomal RNA", at positions 35 to 154 of the family's 154-position model. The record is from RNAcentral.